RNAcentral lists this ribosomal RNA (274 nucleotides) under uncultured bacterium. RNAcentral describes it as "partial 16S ribosomal RNA". It matches the Rfam family "Bacterial small subunit ribosomal RNA", at positions 523 to 796 of the family's 1533-position model. The record is from RNAcentral.
CUACGGAGGGUCCAAGCGUUAUCCGGAAUCAUUGGGUUUAAAGGGUCCGCAGGCGGUCAAUUAAGUCAGAGGUGAAAGCCCAUCGCUCAACGAUGGAACUGCCUUUGAUACUGGUUGACUUGAGUUAUACGGAAGUAGAUAGAAUAAGUAGUGUAGCGGUGAAAUGCAUAGAUAUUACUUAGAAUACCGAUUGCGAAGGCAGUCUACUACGUAUAUACUGACGCUGAGGGACAAAAGCGUGGGGAGCGAACAGGAUUAGAUACCCUAGUAGUCC